Ruditapes philippinarum (Manila clam) is the source of this 1179-nucleotide long non-coding RNA. RefSeq lists it as uncharacterized. The transcript has 7 exons. The record is from RefSeq and is a predicted model, not a curated record. NCBI's taxonomy places the organism in Eukaryota, Metazoa, Mollusca, Bivalvia, Venerida, Veneridae.
AGAGAGAGCAAUUAUACAGGUUGGAAAACAAUGCCAUAUUCGUGUUGGCUGUGGGAUGCGUGAGUUGUCUCCCUUGAUACUCUGUUAAAUAAGCGAUGGUUCACUGCCUGCCCAACUGCCGGUGGAGCUCGGGCUGAUUUGUUACACCUUCUCACCGGGGAGAAAGAUGGGAAGCGAUGUGUAGCCGGCGUCCGUUAUCUGCUGCCAGUACCCACGUCCGAAUCGCAAGAUCUAUAUUUAUCUGAAGAAUACAACAUAUUAUACUGCUAUGUUUAAUGCUGUCAUGUGUUUAUUCAGUUGCUAUGCUCGUACAGAAAAUUGUCUAUGAAAAGGAGAAAAGAUUAAGAGUUACAGGUAAUGAAGAUGAUGGGCUUAUCACAAAGUGUAAACUAGUGGGCGUGGUUUAUAACUGCCGCGGUACAGAUGACUGUUACCGUGGUAACGCUGACGUUGAUGUUAUACUAUGGACGUGUACUAUCUCAUAGUAAUCCAGUCAUAGUGUUUAUGUUCCUGGAAAUGUUUGCCCUGUCUUCUAUUGCUUUUUCGUUUUUAAUUGACAGUAUGUUCUCUCGGGCUAAACUUGCUGCAGCAAUUGUGCGGGCAAUAUUUCCAACAUCAGCUCUGGGUCUUAGGUGGGAAGUAUUUCCUGUUUUAUGAGUUAGAGGGAUCAUGCGUACAGUGGGAGAACCUGCAUGUGUCGCCACGGGAACAUGAUAAUUUUAGUCUACAGAUUGUGUUGAUAAUGAUAGCAGUGGACACAGUUAUUUACUUUAUACUGGCCUGGUAUAUAGACAAUGUUCAUCUAGGAUCUUAUGGUAUACCAAAGCCAUGGUAUUUUCCAUUCACAAGCUCUUACUGGUGUGGAACAUCACUUUGGGAAACAUGUUGUCUUAAACGUUUGUUCGGAAUUAAUCGUAGUAGACGUCCUUACUAUCUCGUCAAUGAUGAUCUUUGGUUUUAUUCACGUUUGUGUUCCAGCUAGAGAUAUACAAGAUAAUAUUCCAAGAAUAUUGACAGACCUCAGUCUAGCGAACAAAGGGGAUCACACCCAGAGGCAAUCUCUGGCGGCAUGCAGAGAAAACUUUCUAUAGCUAUAGCAUUUGUUGGAGGAUCGCGCACAGUGAUCUUGAACGAGCCUACUGCCAGUGUCGACCCCUACUCACGUAGAGCCAUCUGGAA